Long non-coding RNA from Micropterus salmoides (largemouth bass), 434 nucleotides. RefSeq lists it as uncharacterized. The transcript has 2 exons. The record is from RefSeq and is a predicted model, not a curated record. Lineage: Eukaryota; Metazoa; Chordata; Actinopteri; Centrarchiformes; Centrarchidae.
UUUUGCUCGUGUCUGACUUACAUUUUGUCCACUUACAGCGCUGUGGCUCGGAGGAUGUGAUCUGUCAGACCGCACAAUGAAUGCUUCAAAGGAUGCUUUGGAUUUUAGGAAAUGAAGAGGAUAAUGGCGUGUCUGCUCAGAUGUUGCCAAUCAACAAACUAAAUGUCCUGGGGACAGGAAUCAGUUUAUCACCUAAUUUUAUGCUGUCACUUUCAGAAAGAUCAGACUCUCGGGUUUCAGUGAUACGUAUGAAAAAUGAAUGAGCUUCAUUGCCUUGUUGACUACCUUUGACAGCGUCCCAUAAAUCAAUCGACGGGCGGCGUCCCUGAUUGUUGAGAAGACUAACAAAAUAAUUUCUGUGUAUCUGGUUCAUAGCUGGCAUGUGCACAUUUACAGUACUUGAAUAUUAAUAAAUGACUAAUCGUAAGCAUAAA